UCUUACCCACCAAUUGAAGCACCUUCAUUGAAGAAAAUCCAUAAUAGACCCACUGUAAAGAGAAAGCCAUCUCUAGGGGAGGUUGAUGGUUGUAAGCUGUCAAGGAAAGGUCAAAUAAACAAAUGCAGCAAUUGUGGGGAGGUGGGGCACAACAAAAGAAAAUGUGUUGCCCCGGCAAAGCAACCAGGUUGCAUAAAAGUUCUCAAGAAACCUAUAACAACACCCAGGAAGAAAAAGAAGCAACAGAAUUGUGUCUCAACAACACUAGUGAAGCCUUCAACACAACAAACCCAAUGCUCAAUUGCUCCACACAACAAAGGUGUUGGAGUGUACACUUAUCCAAGUGGUUUUCAGAGGCAAGCAGAGUUCAUCAAUACCGUUGGGAGUCAAUCAACCAAAGCAUCAAACUCAACACAAUUGGAUCAAAUGGGUUAAUUAUACAAGAGACCAACACAAUUGUUCUACCUUGACUAAGACAAGGAUGGAAGAUAGAAGAUGGAAGAAGAUAAUUUGAAAUAAGAAGAGCUUGAGUAGAAGAACUUUUUGUUGAAAGAGAGAUGUUAUAAACUCUGUUUAUGUUUAAAGAGCUUUUAUAAUGACCUUACAUCAAGCUCUCUGCUUCAAACUGUUGUUUUUGAUUUGCAAUUUAUUUUUCCUUUUUUUUUACUGUACUUCAAAUGCUCAGGUGGGUUAUACAGUAGUUAAGUUGCCGAAAAACUAAUCACAAGUCCUAAAAGGUGAAGAAAAAAAGAAUAGUCCCUUAAAGGUGAAA
Molecule: long non-coding RNA, 772 nt
Organism: Beta vulgaris subsp. vulgaris (sugar beet)
Lineage: Eukaryota; Viridiplantae; Streptophyta; Magnoliopsida; Caryophyllales; Amaranthaceae
Exons: 3
Source: RefSeq, a predicted model, not a curated record